GACCAGACUCCUACGGGAGGCAGCAGUGGGGGAUAUUGCACAAUGGGGGGAACCCUGAUGCAGCGACGCCGCGUGGGUGAAGGAGUAUUUCGGUAUGUAAAGCCCUAUCGGCAGGGAAGAAGCAAGACGGUACCUGACUAAGAAGCCCCGGCUAACUACGUGCCAGCAGCCGCGGUAAUACGUAGGGGGCGAGCGUUAUCCGGAUUUACUGGGUGUAAAGGGGGCGCAGACGGCGAUGCAAGCCAGGAGUGAAAGCCCGGGGCCCAACCCCGGGACUGCUCUUGGAACUGCGUGGCUGGAGUGCAGGAGGGGCAGGCGGAAUUCCUGGUGUAGCGGUGAAAUGCGUAGAUAUCAGGAGGAACACCGGUGGCGAAGGCGGCCUGCUGGACUGCGACUGACGCUGAGGCUCGAAAGCGUGGGGAGCAAACAGGAUUAGAUACCCCGGUAGAC
RNAcentral lists this ribosomal RNA (450 nucleotides) under uncultured bacterium. RNAcentral describes it as "partial 16S ribosomal RNA". It matches the Rfam family "Bacterial small subunit ribosomal RNA", at positions 329 to 795 of the family's 1533-position model. The record is from RNAcentral.